This 576-nucleotide ribosomal RNA is filed under the name uncultured eukaryote. RNAcentral describes it as "SSU rRNA". It matches the Rfam family "Eukaryotic small subunit ribosomal RNA", at positions 203 to 794 of the family's 1831-position model. The record is from RNAcentral.
UAUUUAUUAGAUAACAGACCAAUAUUCCUCGUGUCUAUUGUGGUGACUCAUAGUAACUGAUCGGAUCGCAUGGCCUUGUGCCGCGACUAACCAUUCAAGUUUCUGACCCAUCAGCUUUCGAUGGUAGUGUAUUGGACUACCAUGGCUUUCACGGGUAACGGAGGAUUAGGGUUCGAUUCCGGAGAGGGAGCCUGAGAAACGGCUACCACAUCUAAGGAAGGCAGCAGGCGCGUAAAUUACCCAAUCCUGACUCAGGGAGGUAGUGACAAGAAAUAACGGGUCGGGGCAUUCGCCUCGGGAUUGCAAUGAAUCGAAUUUACACCCCUUAAUGAGGAUCAAUUGGAGGGCAAGUCUGGUGCCAGCAGCCGCGGUAAUUCCAGCUCCAAUAGCGUAUAUUAAAGUUGUUGCAGUUAAGAAGCUCGUAGUUUGAUUUCUGGACGGGCGCCAACACCCGCUUGUUUAGUGUGGAGGCGGCGCCCGCCCAUCCUUCUGUUAACGCCACCGGCAUUCGUUUGCUGGCGGCGGGCUCAGAUAUUUUACCUUGAGAAAAUUAGAGUGUUUCAGGCAGGCUUGCGC